Long non-coding RNA from Oncorhynchus keta (chum salmon), 1090 nucleotides. RefSeq lists it as uncharacterized. The record is from RefSeq and is a predicted model, not a curated record. Lineage: Eukaryota; Metazoa; Chordata; Actinopteri; Salmoniformes; Salmonidae. The transcript has 5 exons.
GAUAUGGAGUGCAGCGCAUUGCCUAACAGUUGUUUCUUUGUAUUUUUUAAAUGAAAAUGAAGAAUGGAUAUGAUCUGUAACAAUGGAUAGGACACUUGUCCUCCUCCAAGCAUCAGUGACCUCCAGGACCAGUGGCCUUUCCUUUUCACCAGGUUAUGUAUGGCUCUGCAACAACUUUCAUACCCUCACUGGCAUCGUGAUUGACAGUCGCAUGACUCAAGCUCUCCUGAACAAGGAUCACUGCAACUCGGGUUGCCAGACACACCAAGGCUGAUCGUGUUUGGAAAUACUCUAUUGGGUUCUUCAAAAUGAAUGGUGUCGAUCGAGGGGAGAGUGGUCUGUGUUUUGGACCAACUUUGCUGCUGCCCUCUCUGUGCUCUUCAGCACGUUCUAUGUUUUUAAUAUCGAAUACCAGGAGUCAGCCUCUACAACCAUGGCGCUGAUCCAGAGGAUCCUGGUUCAAAUAAACCCUGAAAGAACCAACUGCACAGCGAAAGCAGGAGUGAGCCGCAAGACCGGAAAGGUCGUUCAGAGGAAGCCAUUGCCAAUUAACCCACAUGUUCCACACUUUCCGGCAAACCGGAAGGAAUUCGAGUGGAAAAACUUCAACAUUUGACGUAUCAGAGCUAAGGAGGAUCAGUUUCAAAGAUUGGGGUGAUAAUCUGCACCCCACCGAGAUUUAUUUGAGACAUGUUUGCAUCUCCCAUUCUCUCAGCAAAUGAUCUGCUUGCGCCAUCCGGGAGCCUGUGUUGGCUUGCGGUAGCGUGCUUCUCUGGCUCCAGUCCAGCCCUGCUCGCUCCUCUCCAUCCAUCCUUCUCUCUCAGCCCCUUUCUCUCUCGUUCCUCUCUCAAAGACAGGCAGGCAAGCAGUUAUUGUUAUAGUUUUUUGUAAACAUUUCUCCCUGUUCAACUGUUUUCCUAUUUUUCAUUGAUCUGUUUAGAUGUUCUUUUUUUCUUACAUAAUCCAGUAUUUUCAAGAAUGACCAAUUCUGAUGUCUUGGUUUAUGUAUGGUGAAGUACAUUAUUGGCCAGUAUUUGUCAAUGUUCUUAUCACUGUAUCUCUCUCUGUCUCUCUUUCUCUUCCCUACUAU